RNAcentral lists this ribosomal RNA (509 nucleotides) under Microdytes svensoni. RNAcentral describes it as "partial 16S ribosomal RNA". The stretch from base 383 to 509 matches the Rfam family "Bacterial large subunit ribosomal RNA", at positions 2473 to 2600 of the family's 2925-position model. The record is from RNAcentral. Lineage: Eukaryota; Metazoa; Arthropoda; Insecta; Coleoptera; Dytiscidae.
GUCCUUUAGAUAAAUAAUUUAAGGUCUGAUCUGCCCACUGAAAAUUUAAAUGGCCGCAGUAAUUUGACUGUGCAAAGGUAGCAUAAUCAAUAGUUUUUUAAUUAAAAGCUUGAAUGAAUGAUUGGACGAAAUAAAAACUGUCUCUUAGUUAAAAUUAGAAUUUAAUUUUUAAGUUAAAAAGCUUAAAUUAAAAUAAAAGACGAGAAGACCCUAUAGAUUUUUAUUUUAAAAAUUUAUAUAUUGAUUAAAGAUUAUUUUUAAUUGUAUAGAAUUUAAAAUUUUAUUGGGGUAAUAAAAAGAUUAUAAAAAUUCUUUAUGUUUUUCACAUAAAUUAAUGAAUAAUUGAUCCAUAAAAAUGAUUAAAAGAUUAAGUUACCUUAGGGAUAACAGCGUAAUUUUUUUAGAGAGUUCUUAUCGAUAAAAAAGUUUGCGACCUCGAUGUUGGAUUAAAAUUUAAUUUAAAUGCAGAAGUUUAAAUUUUUAGUCUGUUCGACUAUUAAAAUUUUACA